AGUGGCGAACGGGUGAGUAACGCGUGGACAACCAACCUUAUAGUGGGGGACAACACUUCGAAAGGAGUGCUAAUACCGCAUAAGCUCUUUGGGCCGCAUGGUUUGAAGAGGAAAGGGGCAACAGCUCCGCUAAAAGACGGGUCCGCGUCUGAUUAGCUAGUUGGAGGGGUAACGGCCCACCAAGGCGACGAUCAGUAGCCGGUCUGAGAGGAUGAACGGCCACACUGGGACUGAGACACGGCCCAGACUCCUACGGGAGGCAGCAGUGGGGAAUCUUCCGCAAUGGACGAAAGUCUGACGGAGCGACGCCGCGUGAGUGAGGAAGGCCUUCGGGUCGUAAAGCUCUGUCAUCAGGGACGAAUGGCCGGUGGAGUGGAAAGCCACCGGAUUGACGGUACCUGAGAAGGAAGCCACGGCUAACUACGUGCCAGCAGCCGCGGUAAUACGUAGGUGGCAAGCGUUGUCCGGAAUUAUUGGGCGUAAAGCGCGCGCAGGUGGGAUCUUAAGUCCAUUUUGAAAGUUCGGAGCUCAACUCCGUGAUGGGAUGGAAACUGGGAUUCUUGAGUACCGGAGAGGAAAGCGGAAUUCCCCGUGUAGCGGUGAAAUGCGUAGAUAUGGGGAGGAACACCAGUGGCGAAGGCGGCUUUCUGGACGGUGUCUGACACUGAGGCGCGAAAGCUAGGGGAGCGAACGGGAUUAGAUACCCCGGUAGUCCUGGCC
Molecule: ribosomal RNA, 720 nt
Filed under: uncultured bacterium
Lineage: Bacteria
Description: bacterial SSU rRNA
Rfam family: Bacterial small subunit ribosomal RNA
Source: RNAcentral